GGUGAGUAAUACAUCGGCAACGUGCCCGAGAGUGGGGGAUAACGAAGCGAAAGCUUUGCUAAUACCGCAUACGAUCUCAGGAUGAAAGCAGGGGACCGCAAGGCCUUGCGCUCACGGAGCGGCCGAUGGCAGAUUAGGUAGUUGGUGGGAUAAAAGCUUACCAAGCCGACGAUCUGUAGCUGGUCUGAGAGGACGACCAGCCACACUGGGACUGAGACACGGCCCAGACUCCUACGGGAGGCAGCAGUGGGGAAUUUUGGACAAUGGGCGCAAGCCUGAUCCAGCCAUGCCGCGUGCAGGAUGAAGGCCUUCGGGUUGUAAACUGCUUUUGUACGGAACGAAAAGACUCUGGUUAAUACCUGGGGUCCAUGACGGUACCGUAAGAAUAAGCACCGGCUAACUACGUGCCAGCAGCCGCGGUAAUACGUAGGGUGCGAGCGUUAAUCGGAAUUACUGGGCGUAAAGCGUGCGCAGGCGGUUAUGUAAGACAGAUGUGAAAUCCCCGGGCUCAACCUGGGAACUGCAUUUGUGACUGCAUAGCUAGAGUACGGCAGAGGGGGAUGGAAUUCCGCGUGUAGCAGUGAAAUGCGUAGAUAUGCGGAGGAACACCGAUGGCGAAGGCAAUCCCCUGGGCCUGUACUGACGCUCAUGCACG
RNAcentral lists this ribosomal RNA (655 nucleotides) under uncultured beta proteobacterium. RNAcentral's name for it is "bacterial SSU rRNA". It matches the Rfam family "Bacterial small subunit ribosomal RNA", at positions 105 to 755 of the family's 1533-position model. The record is from RNAcentral. Lineage: Bacteria; Pseudomonadati; Pseudomonadota; Betaproteobacteria.